RNAcentral lists this ribosomal RNA (448 nucleotides) under uncultured bacterium. Its description in RNAcentral is "SSU rRNA". It matches the Rfam family "Bacterial small subunit ribosomal RNA", at positions 26 to 518 of the family's 1533-position model. The record is from RNAcentral.
AGAGCGAACGCUGGCGGCAGGCUUAACACAUGCAAGUCGAGCGGGCGUAGCAAUACGUCAGCGGCAGACGGGUGAGUAACGCGUGGGAACAUACCUUUUGGUUCGGAACAACACAGGGAAACUUGUGCUAAUACCGGAUAAGCCCUUACGGGGAAAGAUUUAUCGCCAAAAAGAUUGGCCCGCGUCUGAUUAGCUAGUUGGUGAGGUAAUGGCUCACCAAGGCGACGAUCAGUAGCUGGUCUGAGAGGAUGAUCAGCCACAUUGGGACUGAGACACGGCCCAAACUCCUACGGGAGGCAGCAGUGGGGAAUAUUGGACAAUGGGCGCAAGCCUGAUCCAGCCAUGCCGCGUGAGUGAUGAAGGCCCUAGGGUUGUAAAGCUCUUUUGUGCGGGAAGAUAAUGACGGUACCGCAAGAAUAAGCCCGGCUAACUUCGCGCCAGCAGCCGC